UUUAGCAAGAAAAAUAAUUACUUCGACUCUACCGCGGGGCGAGGAUUCACACGAAUAGGCUUUCGCAAGAUCUCGCUCAAAUCAAACAAAAUUUCACUGCCAUCUCAAUCGCGACUGAUGCCUACAACCACCUCCGCCUCCGCUGCGGCGGCUGGUAAAUCCCCAAUUGCCUCCGACUCCGACGAGUACGAGUACGAAUAUGAGUACGAGGAAAUAGAAGUAGAAGAAGAGGUAGAAGUAGAAGUAGAAGAAGAAGUCUCCGACGAAGAAGUCAAUGAAGAAGAAGACGAGGAAGAAGUAGAAGAAAAGGGAGAAGAUAUAUUGCCGACAAUAAUCGAUGGUGAAGAUCACAAGAAAAGUGCGCAUCAUUCUGUUGUCAAAAUUGACGAAGAGGAAGAGGAAGAGGAAGAGGAGGAAGAAGAAGAGGAAGAAGAAGAAGAAGAAGAAGAAGAAGAAGAAGAAGAACCGGAAGAACAAGAAGAAGUAGAAGAAAAGCGGGAAGAUAUAUCGCCACCAAUCGACGAUGGAGAUCACGAGAAAGGGAAAACAACAACUGUAGAUGAUGGUGGCAUGCUUUACACUGACAAUGAUAAUAAACCUUCUCAAUCUGAUCAUGGUGGAAUUACAACUUCUUCUGUCAAUACUAGCAAUCCUGUUGGUGUAUCAGUAUCAGCUGAAGUAGUGAAAGUGAGUGGAGAAUCAGUGAUUCAAGUUCCCAAUGAUGAUGAUGAUAAAUUCCCUCCUGAAAAAGGAUCUAAGGAGUCAAAUGAAGUUAUUCAAUCCCCUCUUUCUGAGAAAGAAACUAAAGAAACAAAUGAAGGUAAUAGUAAUUUCCCACCUUCUUCUGAGAAAGAAACUAAGGGGACAAAUGAUCAAGAUAUGGAUGAUAAACACCAAAAACAACCAGUUAGAUUGGAUGUGCCUUUGAGAAGGCCUAGAAGUUCAUCACCUGUGACAAAAACCAAAGAAGGAAACAAAAGACAAGUUCUUGUAUGCGAGUUUUUUGCCAAAGGUUGGUGUAUUAAAGGAAAGUCUUGUAGGUUUCUUCAUAUAAAAGAGUCAAAGGAGGACAAGCAAUGUAAUUCUCAAAACACCCCCUCGAUUUCUGCUCAAAUGACGAAAAUACCCCCGUUAAACCAUAGCUCUGUUUGGACUAGUAAUUCAUUGUUGUUUAGUUCCUCUUCCUCAUCUUGGAAUAAUCCUGAUUCCUUUCCAACCAUGAAUGAUUACAAAUCUGGUUCUGAAACAAAACAUUUGUAUCAGAAUCAGAAUCAGAAUCAGGAUAAGGUUUUAUCUGGUGAUUCUCAUUCAACAAGGUUUUAUAAAUAUGAUUGGGAGCCUUCAAAACCUUUUAGAUCAAUGUUUCUUCUCUCACAAGGUCUUUCUCCAUCUACUCUAUAUGAUCCAAUCCGUGAUAGCAUUGAUCCACCGGAUUAUGGAGUUGGGGUUUCUAAAUUUUCUUCCUCAUGUCAAGGGCCUUCAACCUCAACCACACAUUCACCAAAAAACAUCAAUCCACCUGUAAAAGGGACACCACAUGACAUUGAUAUUGAUAAUGCCAGUGAAAGACAUUCGGUUGCUAGUCAUGACAAGGAUACGAGUUCAAAUAAAGUAAAUGUAGAAAAAGGAAACGAGCAUAUGCAUACGAGCCAUGUUUAUAAUGGAGAUAUGACGGAAGCAAGUGAAGCAAAUGAUGGGCCCACAAAAAGGGAAAUUAAAGAAACUAGUGAAGCGAAAGGGGAUGAGGUUGUUAUGCAAAGGGAAUCAAAAGCACUUAGACAUUUUCGUGGUGCUCUUAUAGAAUUUGUUAAGGAAAUUGUGAAGCCAGCAUGGCGUGAGGGUAACCUUAGCAAGGAUGCUCACAAAGUGGUUGUUAAGAAGGUUGUUGAUAAGGUCCUUAGCACAUUGUCUUCUGAGAAUAUUCCAAGCACCGAAGAUGCUACCGAUUUCUAUCUUUCUUCGUGUCAACAAAAACUUGUGAAACUUGUUGAGGGAUAUAUUAAGAAGUAUGGGAAAUCAUGACUUGCUUAUAUUUUUAGAAACUUUCACCAAGGGCGGAGGUUUACAUGUAUUAGAAGAGACAUGGCCUCAUUAAGUGCUGCAAGUUUCUAUGAUUUUGUGGUAAAAGACAUGAAUGCCCUUUUGAUCCUUAGUCCUAGAGGUUGAGGAGGGUAUUCACGUCUUUUUAGCAGACGAGAGACUAUAGCCAAUUGGUUUGAAGAUAAAUGCUUCUUCACAAGAUGCUAUCACAAUGUAGUA
This is a non-coding RNA of Lactuca sativa (garden lettuce), 2259 nucleotides long. NCBI's taxonomy places the organism in Eukaryota, Viridiplantae, Streptophyta, Magnoliopsida, Asterales, Asteraceae. The record is from RefSeq and is a predicted model, not a curated record.